UCGGGAGUCUCGCACAAUGGGGCAACCCUGAUGCAGCGACGCCGCGUGUGGGAUGACGUCUUUCGGGAUGUAAACCACUUUUGUGAGGGACGAACACAAUGACGGUACCUCACGAAUAAGCCCCGGCUAACUACGUGCCAGCAGCCGCGGUAAAACGUAGGGGGCGAGCGUUGCCCGGAUUUACUGGGCGUAAAGCGCGCGUAGGCGGCUACUUAAGUGGGGAGUUAAAGGCUCCGGCUCAACCGGAGAGGUGCUUCUCAAACUGGGUAGCUUGAGUGUGGGAGAGGGAAGCGGAAUUCCUGGUGUAGCGGUGAAAUGCGUUGAUAUCAGGAGGAACACCGGUGGCGAAGGCGGCUUCCUGGCCUACUACUGACGCUGAGGCGCGAAAGCGUGGGGAGCAAACGGGAUUAGAUACCCCGGUAGUCCACGCUGUAAACGAUGGGUGCUAGGUGUUGGCGGUCUCGACCCCGCCAGUGCCGUAGCUAACGCAUUAAGCACCCCGCCUGGGGAGUACGGCCGCAAGGUUGAACUCAAAUGAAUUGACGGGGUCAUAGCUGUUUCCU
RNAcentral lists this ribosomal RNA (563 nucleotides) under uncultured bacterium. RNAcentral describes it as "partial 16S ribosomal RNA". It matches the Rfam family "Bacterial small subunit ribosomal RNA", at positions 355 to 1375 of the family's 1533-position model. The record is from RNAcentral.